CUCAUCUAUGAUUGGAAGGCAGGGUAGAAGGUAAUGUCACCAUUCAGGCCCCUAUUACACUGAAUGAUAUUGGGGCCAAUUAUUGGGAACAAGUGUAGAAAUGCUUGCUCCCAAUAGAUGACCCAUAUAAUCGUGCUGCUGAUUAGGUGAUAAACAGGCAUCUUUCAUCAGGAUGAGGGAUGUACGAUAAUCGUCAGGACAUGUCUGUGUGUAAUCAGGGAUUUGUAGCGAUCAUUCCUCCCACAUUCACUUUGUACCAGCCUGUGUAAUUGGCCGAUGCAAACGAGCGCCGAUCGUAUCAUUUCCAAGA
Bufo bufo (common toad) is the source of this 310-nucleotide long non-coding RNA. RefSeq lists it as uncharacterized. NCBI's taxonomy places the organism in Eukaryota, Metazoa, Chordata, Amphibia, Anura, Bufonidae. The transcript has 2 exons. The record is from RefSeq and is a predicted model, not a curated record.